This is a microRNA precursor of Macaca nemestrina (pig-tailed macaque), 99 nucleotides long. The record is from Ensembl. NCBI's taxonomy places the organism in Eukaryota, Metazoa, Chordata, Mammalia, Primates, Cercopithecidae.
GAGGUGGGAGGAUGACUUGAGCCCAGGAGGUUGAGUGUGCAGUGAGCUGUGAUUGUACCACUGCACUCCAGCCUGAGUGACAGAGCAAGACCCUGUCUC